AGAGUUUGAUCCUGGCUCAGAACGAACGCUGGCGGCGUGCUUAACACAUGCAAGUCGAACGAGAAAGUUUCCUUCGGGAAGCGAGUAGAGUGGCGCACGGGUGAGUAACGCGUAGGUAAUCUACCCUUAUGCCUGGGAUAACAUCGGGAAACUGGUGCUAAUACCGGAUGUCCUUCCUGACUGUGGGGUCAGGGAGGAAAGGUGGCCUCUUCAUGAAAGCUACCGCGUAGGGAUGAGCCUGCGUACCAUUAGCUAGUAGGCGGGGUAACGGCCCACCUAGGCAACGAUGGUUAGCGGGUCUGAGAGGAUGAUCCGCCACACUGGAACUGAAACACGGACCAGACUCCUACGGGAGGCAGCAGUGAGGAAUAUUGCGCAAUGGGGGCAACCCUGACGCAGCGACGCCGCGUGGAUGAUGAAGGCUUUCGGGUCGUAAAAUCCUGUCAGAUGGGAAGAAAUGAUUCAUGGUUAAUACCUAUUUUAGUUUGACGGUACCAUCAAAGGAAGCACCGGCUAACUCCGUGCCAGCAGCCGCGGUAAUACGGAGGGUGCACGCGUUGUUCGGAAUUACUGGGCGUAAAGCGCGCGUAGGUGGUUUGUUAAGUCAGAUGUGAAAGUCCACGGCUCAACCGUGGAAGAGGCAUUUGAAACUGGCAAACUUGAGUACUGGAGGGGGUAGUGGAAUUCCCGGUGUAGAGGUGAAAUUCGUAGAUAUCGGGAGGAAUACCGGUGGCGAAGGCGACUACCUGGACGAUUACUGACGCUGAGGCACGAAAGCGUGGGGAGCUAACAGGAUUAGAUACCCUGGUAGUCCACGCCGUAAACGAUGGGCACUAGGGAUAGGGGGUGUUGAUCCCUCCUGUCCCGGAGCUAACGCGUUAAGUUCUCCGCCUGGGAAGUACGGUCGCAAGAUUAAAACUCAAAGGAAUUGACGGGGGCCCGCACAAGCGGUGGAGUAUGUUGGUUUAAUUCGAUGCAACGCGAAGAACCUUACCUGCCCUUGACAUUGACAGAAUCCCGUAGAGAUAUGGGAGUGCCUUCGGGCCUGGAAAACAGGUGCUGCAUGGCUGUCGUCAGCUCGUGUCGUGAGAUGUUGGGUUAAGUCCCGCAACGAGCGCAACCCUUGUCCCUAGUUGCCAGCGGUUCGGCCGGGAACUCUAGGGAGACUGCCAGCGACAAGCUGGAGGAAGGCGGGGACGACGUCAAGUCAUCAUGGCCCUUAUGGGCAGGGCUACACACGUGCUACAAUGGCCGGUACAGAGGGCAGCAAACCCGCGAGGGGGAGCCAAUCCCAGAAAGCCGGUCGUAGUCCGGAUCGGAGUCUGCAACUCGACUCCGUGAAGUCGGAAUCGCUAGUAAUCGCGAAUCAGCAUUGUCGCGGUGAAUACGUUCCCGGGUCUUGUACACACCGCCCGUCACACCAUGGAAGUUGGUUGUACCAGAAGUAGGUAGCCUAACCUUCGGGAGGGCGCUUACCACGGUGUGGCCAAUGACUGGGGUGAAGUCGUAACAAGGUAACC
This 1520-nucleotide ribosomal RNA is filed under the name uncultured prokaryote. RNAcentral's name for it is "partial 16S ribosomal RNA". It matches the Rfam family "Bacterial small subunit ribosomal RNA". The record is from RNAcentral.